CCUACGGGUGGCAGCAGUGGGGAAUAUUGCACAAUGGGGGAAACCCUGAUGCAGCGACGCCGCGUGAGUGAAGAAGUAUCUCGGUACGUAAAGCUCUAUCAGCAGGGAAGAUAAUGACGGUACCUGACCAAGAAGCCCCGGCUAACUACGUGCCAGCAGCCGCGGUAAUACGUAGGGGGCAAGCGUUAUCCGGAUUUACUGGGUGUAAAGGGAGCGUAGACGGCAGCACAAGUCUGGAGUGAAAUCCCGGGGCUCAACCCCGGGACUGCUUUGGAAACUGCCUGACUGGAGUGCUGGAGAGGCAAGCGGAAUUCCUAGUGUAGCGGUGAAAUGCGUAGAUAUUAGGAAGAACACCAGUGGCGAAGGCGGCUUGCUGGACAGUAACUGACGUUGAGGCUCGAAAGCGUGGGGAGCAAACAGGAUUAGAUACCCGGGUAGUC
Molecule: ribosomal RNA, 440 nt
Filed under: uncultured bacterium
Lineage: Bacteria
Description: partial 16S ribosomal RNA
Rfam family: Bacterial small subunit ribosomal RNA
Source: RNAcentral